Molecule: ribosomal RNA, 615 nt
Filed under: Clostridioides difficile
Lineage: Bacteria; Bacillati; Bacillota; Clostridia; Peptostreptococcales; Peptostreptococcaceae
Description: partial 23S ribosomal RNA
Rfam family: Bacterial large subunit ribosomal RNA
Source: RNAcentral
GCCAUCCUUGGGAUACCACCCUUGUAGUACUGGGACUCUAACCAUAGGCCAUGAAUCUGGUCUUGGGACACUGUCAGGUGGGCAGUUUGACUGGGGCGGUCGCCUCCCAAAAGGUAACGGAGGCGCUCAAAGGUUCUCUCAGUACGGUCGGAAAUCGUACGUAGAGUGUAAAGGCAAAAGAGAGCUUGAUUGCAAGACAUACAGGUCGAGCAAGGAUGAAAAUCGGACUUAGUGAUCCGGUGGUUCUGCGUGGAAGGGCCAUCGCUCAACGGAUAAAAGCUACCCUGGGGAUAACAGGCUUAUCUCCCCCAAGAGUCCACAUCGACGGGGAGGUUUGGCACCUCGAUGUCGGCUCAUCACAUCCUGGGGCUGUAGUAGGUCCCAAGGGUUGGGCUGUUCGCCCAUUAAAGUGGUACGCGAGCUGGGUUCAGAACGUCGUGAGACAGUUCGGUCCCUAUCCGUCGCAGGCGUAGGAAAUUUGAGAAGACCUGUCCUUAGUACGAGAGGACCGGGAUGGACGUACCUCUGGUGUACCAGUUGUUCUGCCAAGGGCAUGGCUGGGUAGCUAUGUACGGAAUGGAUAAGCGCUGAAAGCAUCUAAGCGCGAAGCCAACU